UUUCCGUAGGUGAACCUGCGGAAGGAUCACUCAUAAUAAAGUGUUUUAUGGCACUUUUUAAAAAUCCAUAUCCACCUUGUGUGCAAUGUUAGAUCUCGUCAAUCUUGGCGAGAUUUUUAUACAUCAACUCAUUUUUUAACUAAUUUGUCUGAAAAAUAUUAUGAAUACUUAAUUCAAAAUACAACUUUCAACAACGGAUCUCUUGGCUCUC
RNAcentral lists this unclassified non-coding RNA (211 nucleotides) under plant metagenome. RNAcentral's name for it is "partial contains small subunit ribosomal RNA, internal transcribed spacer 1, and 5.8S ribosomal RNA". The record is from RNAcentral.